GGCAGCGUAGCGGAUAUGUCCCCCCCUCCCCACCCCCGGUGACGGUCCCCAGCUUCCUAGGAGAGGGGAACGGAAAGUGCGGCCCCGGCUCCUGGGGUCACUUAAAGGAGAAGAUCAUCUCUAGUAUCUGGCCUACCGAUGAG
Molecule: non-coding RNA, 143 nt
Organism: Chelonoidis abingdonii (Abingdon island giant tortoise)
Lineage: Eukaryota; Metazoa; Chordata; Testudines; Testudinidae
Source: RefSeq, a predicted model, not a curated record